UGGUGAGGUAACGGCCCACCAAAGGCGACGAUCGGUAGCCGACCUGAGAGGGUGAUCGGCCACAUUGGAACUGAGAAACGGUCCAAACUCCUACGGGAGGCAGCAGUGGGGAAUAUUGGGCAAUGGGCGAAAGCCUGACCCAGCAACGCCGCGUGAGGGAAGAAGGUUUUCGGAUUGUAAACCUCUGUCCUCAGGGACGAAGGAAGUGACGGUACCUGAGGAGGAAGCCCCGGCUAACUACGUGCCAGCAGCCGCGGUAAUACGUAGGGGGCAAGCGUUGUCCGGAAUGACUGGGCGUAAAGGGCGUGUAGGCGGCCUGAUAAGUAUGAAGUGAAAGUCCUGCUUUCAAGGUGGGAAUUGCUUUGUAGACUGUCGGGCUUGAGUGCGGAAGAGGUAAGUGGAAUUCCCAGUGUAGCGGUGAAAUGCGUAGAGAUUGGGAGGAACACCAGUGGCGAAGGCGACUUACUGGGCCGUAACUGACGCUGAGGCGCGAAAGCGUGGGGAGCGAACAGGAUUAGAUACCCUGGUAGUCCACGCUGUAAACGAUGAAUGCUAGGUGUAGGGGGUAUCGACCCUUCCUGUGCCGGAGUAAACGCAAUAAGCAUUCCGCCUGGGGAGUACGGCCGCAAGGUUGAAACUCAAAGGAAUUGACGGGGGCCCGCACAAGCAGCGGAGCAUGUUGUUUAAUUCGAUGCAACGCGAAGAACCUUACCAGGUCUUGACAUCCAAUUAAAGUCAUAGAGAUAUGAUGUCUCUUCGGAGGAAUUGAGACAGGUGGUGCAUGGUUGUCGUCAGCUCGUGUCGUGAGAUGUUGGGUUAAGUCCCGCAACGAGCGCAACCCUUAUGAUCAGUUACUAACGGAUAAAGCCGAGGACUCUGAUAAGACUGCCGGGGACAACUCGGAGGAAGGUGGGGACGACGUCAAAUCAUCAUGCCCCUUAUGACCUGGGCUACAAACGUGCUACAAUGGCGACUACAAAGAGAAGCGAGUCUGUGAAGAUAAGCGGAUCUCAAAAAAGCCGUCCCAGUUCGGAUUGUGGGCUGCAACCCGCCCACAUGAAGUUGGAGUUGCUAGUAAUCGCGGAUCAGAAUGCCGCGGUGAAUACGUUCCCGGGCCUUGCACGGACCGCCCGUC
RNAcentral lists this ribosomal RNA (1135 nucleotides) under uncultured bacterium. Its description in RNAcentral is "bacterial SSU rRNA". It matches the Rfam family "Bacterial small subunit ribosomal RNA", at positions 250 to 1398 of the family's 1533-position model. The record is from RNAcentral.